Molecule: ribosomal RNA, 350 nt
Filed under: Vibrio parahaemolyticus
Lineage: Bacteria; Pseudomonadati; Pseudomonadota; Gammaproteobacteria; Vibrionales; Vibrionaceae
Description: bacterial SSU rRNA
Rfam family: Bacterial small subunit ribosomal RNA
Source: RNAcentral
GGGGCCCGCACAAGCGGUGGAGCAUGUGGUUUAAUUCGAUGCAACGCGAAGAACCUUACCUACUCUUGACAUCCAGAGAACUUUCCAGAGAUGGAUUGGUGCCUUCGGGAACUCUGAGACAGGUGCUGCAUGGCUGUCGUCAGCUCGUGUUGUGAAAUGUUGGGUUAAGUCCCGCAACGAGCGCAACCCUUAUCCUUGUUUGCCAGCGAGUAAUGUCGGGAACUCCAGGGAGACUGCCGGUGAUAAACCGGAGGAAGGUGGGGACGACGUCAAGUCAUCAUGGCCCUUACGAGUAGGGCUACACACGUGCUACAAUGGCGCAUACAGAGGGCAGCCAACUUGCGAAAGUG